AUGAUUGAACAUUCAAAACAUGCUUCACUUAACCACCAACCAAAUAUGAUGCAACAUUUGUUUCUUCACGAGAUGAAUUAUUUAUGGAUUUUUUGUAUAUCAUCAUAUUCUUCAGCAGCUUCUUUGAUUGUCUCCAAACUAGGAGAACUUGAAGGUUUUCUUGGGAAAAUUAUGGCUGCAGGAGCAACCUCCAUCCAAGAAUUUAUAUUUCUUAUUCCUUUUACCAUUGAUGGGGAUAGUAUAAAUUGUUGA
Vicia faba (fava bean) is the source of this 252-nucleotide non-coding RNA. NCBI's taxonomy places the organism in Eukaryota, Viridiplantae, Streptophyta, Magnoliopsida, Fabales, Fabaceae. The record is from the annotation of a GenBank genome assembly.